Molecule: ribosomal RNA, 265 nt
Filed under: uncultured archaeon
Lineage: Archaea
Description: partial 16S ribosomal RNA
Rfam family: Archaeal small subunit ribosomal RNA
Source: RNAcentral
ACACGACUACAUUAGAUACCCGUGUAGUCCCAGCCCUAAACGAUGCGCGUUAGGUGUAUCGGUGACCACGAGUCACCGAGGUGCCGAAGGGAAACCGUGAAACGUGCCGCCUGGGAAGUACGGACGCAAGGCUGAAACUUAAAGGAAUUGGCGGGGGAGCACCACAACGCGUGGAGCCUGCGGUUUAAUUGGAUUCAACGCCGGAAAUCUUACCGGGACCGACAGCAACAUGAAGGCCAAGCUGAAGACUUUGCCGGAUUAGCUG